GACAAGAUGGCCGAGUGGUUAAGGCGUACCGUUCAAGCUGUCACGUGAACACUUGGAAAUUCCUCAUUUUAAGAAUUUCCAUGAUCCGGUAUGGGGAAACCCGCGUGAGUUCGAGUCUCGCUCUUGUCA
Molecule: transfer RNA, 129 nt
Filed under: Blastomyces percursus
Lineage: Eukaryota; Fungi; Ascomycota; Eurotiomycetes; Onygenales; Ajellomycetaceae
Rfam family: tRNA
About the family: Transfer RNA (tRNA) molecules are approximately 80 nucleotides in length. Their secondary structure includes four short double-helical elements and three loops (D, anti-codon, and T loops).
Source: Rfam by way of RNAcentral